Molecule: ribosomal RNA, 529 nt
Filed under: uncultured bacterium
Lineage: Bacteria
Description: partial 16S ribosomal RNA
Rfam family: Bacterial small subunit ribosomal RNA
Source: RNAcentral
UGGGGAAUAUUGGACAAUGGGCGCAAGCCUGAUCCAGCCAUGCCGCGUGAGUGAUGAAGGCCUUAGGGUUGUAAAGCUCUUUCGGCGGGGACGAUAAUGACGGUACCCGCAGAAGAAGCCCCGGCUAACUUCGUGCCAGCAGCCGCGGUAAUACGAAGGGGGCUAGCGUUGCUCGGAAUCACUGGGCGUAAAGGGCGCGUAGGCGGACAUUUAAGUCGGGGGUGAAAGCCCAGGGCUCAACCCUGGAAUUGCCUCCGAUACUGGGUGUCUCGAGACCGGAAGAGGUGAGUGGAACUGCGAGUGUAGAGGUGAAAUUCGUAGAUAUUCGCAAGAACACCAGUGGCGAAGGCGGCUCACUGGUCCGGUUCUGACGCUGAGGCGCGAAAGCGUGGGGAGCAAACAGGAUUAGAUACCCUGGUAGUCCACGCCGUAAACGAUGGAUGCUAGCCGUUGGCAGGCUUGCCUGUCAGUGGCGCAGCUAACGCUUUAAGCAUCCCGCCUGGGGAGUACGGCCGCAAGGUUAAAACUC